GUAUUAUAAAGCGAAACUGCGAACGGCUCAUUACAACAGAUAUAAUUUACUAGUUCUUGAUCCUAUAUGGAUAACUGCGGUAAUUCUGGAGCCAAUACAUGCAUCAAGCCUCGGCCUUCGGGUCCGGGGUGCAAUUAUUGGAGCAAAACCAGUCUCGUACUGAUUGCUAACUCUGGAUAAUUCUGCUUAUCGCAUGGUCUUGUACCGGCGAAGUUUCUUUCAAGUAUCUGCUUUAUCAACUAUCGUUGGUAGUUUAUUGGACUACCAUGGUGUUGACGGGUAACGGAGAAUCAGGGUUUGACUCCGGAGAGGGAGCCUUAGAAACGGCUACCAUGUCUAAGGAUAGCAGCAGGCGCGAAAAUUACCCAAUAUCAAAACGAUGAGGUAGUGACGAGAAAUAACGAGAUCGUUCUCUUUGAGGUCGAUUAUUGGAAUGAGUACAAUCCAGACAUUUUAACGAGUACCUACGAGAGGGCAAGUCUGGUGCCAGCAGCCGCGGUAAUUCCAGCUCUCGUAAUGUAUAGAAUUAUUGUUGCGAUUAAAAAGUUCGUAGUUGGAUUGUUACGCAGACAUGGGUCCACCUUCGUGGUGCGUACUCAAUGUUUGCAUUUUGUUGGUUUUCGCGGCGUCGCAAGAUGUCGUGUUGCCAGCAGGAUUACUUUGAACGGCUCAAGUGCUUAAAGCGAGUCUUAUGACUGAAUACCGGUGCAUGGAAUAAUGGAACAAGGUUGCGGCCGAGUUUUAUUGGUUUUGUCGGCUGAAACAAUGGUUAACAGGAACAGCCGGGGGCAUUCGUAUCGCUGCGCGAGAGGUGAAAUUCGUGGACCGUAGCGAGACGUCCGACAGCGAAGGCAUUUGCCAAGAGUGUUUUCAUUAAUCAAGAACGAAAGUCAGAG
RNAcentral lists this ribosomal RNA (896 nucleotides) under Bursaphelenchus sexdentati. RNAcentral describes it as "SSU rRNA". It matches the Rfam family "Eukaryotic small subunit ribosomal RNA", at positions 71 to 995 of the family's 1831-position model. Lineage: Eukaryota; Metazoa; Nematoda; Chromadorea; Rhabditida; Aphelenchoididae. The record is from RNAcentral.